This 285-nucleotide long non-coding RNA is filed under the name Nicotiana benthamiana. RNAcentral's name for it is "long non-coding RNA (NBEN_LNC018897)". The record is from RNAcentral. Lineage: Eukaryota; Viridiplantae; Streptophyta; Magnoliopsida; Solanales; Solanaceae.
UUCACCAAUUGGUAUUUACCCGUGUUGUCCACAUUGCCCUACAAAAUAUAUACCAAGCCCAUAAAUAGCGAGGUUCUACCAAAAAAAAAAAAAAACGCGCGACCCGUGUUGUCCACAUUAUCCCUACAAAAUAUAUAUCAAGCCCAUAAAUAGCGAGAUUCUACCAAAAAAACGCGUGAGAUUGUAGAGGAGAUCUGCGUGUGAUCCUAUCAGCAUUUAAUUUAAAAUUUGAAACGGAAGUAAAUCUGUAGCUGCGUAAAUCUCUCAUUCUCCAUAUAUUUUCCA